This 375-nucleotide ribosomal RNA is filed under the name uncultured eukaryote. RNAcentral's name for it is "partial 18S ribosomal RNA". It matches the Rfam family "Eukaryotic small subunit ribosomal RNA", at positions 592 to 976 of the family's 1831-position model. The record is from RNAcentral.
CAAUAGCGUAUAUUUAAGUUGCUGCAGUUAAAGCUCGUAGUUGGAUUUCGGGUGGGAAUGGCCGGUCCGCCGUUUCGGUGUGCACUUGCUACGCCCACCUUGCUGCCGGGGACGUGCUCUUGAGUUCACGCUCGGGACGCGGAGUCGGCGAGGUUACUUUGAGUAAAUUAGAGUGUUCAAAGCAGGCCUACGCUCUGAAUACAUUAGCAUGGAAUAACACGAUAGGACUCUGGCCUAUCUUGUUGGUCUGUAGGACCGGAGUAAUGAUUAAGAGGGACAGUCGGGGGCAUUCGUAUUUCAUUGUCAGAGGUGAAAUUCUUGGAUUUAUGAAAGACGAACUACUGCGAAAGCAUUUGCCAAGGAUGUUUUCAUUAA